CGACGAAGGUGGCAAGCGUUGUUCGGAAUUAUUGGGCUUAAAGAGCACGUAGGCGGCUCAGCAAGCGUCGUGUGAAAUCCCCCGGCUUAACCGGGGAAUUGUGCGGCGAACUGUUGGGCUUGAGGCAAGUAGGGGUGUGUGGAACUCUUAGUGGAGCGGUGGAAUGCGUAGAUAUUAAGAGGAACGCCGGAGGCGAAGGCGACACACUGGGCUUGUCCUGACGCUGAGGUGCGAAAGCCAGGGUAGCGAACGGGAUUAGAUACCCCGGUAGUCCUGGCCAUAAACGAUGUCCACUAGGCCGGAGAACUUCUGACAGUUUUCCGGCUGAAACAAAAGCAUUAAGUGGACCGCCUGGGGAGUACGGUCGCAAGGCUGAA
RNAcentral lists this ribosomal RNA (377 nucleotides) under uncultured bacterium. Its description in RNAcentral is "bacterial SSU rRNA". It matches the Rfam family "Bacterial small subunit ribosomal RNA", at positions 523 to 898 of the family's 1533-position model. The record is from RNAcentral.